GAAAUAAUAGAGCUCUUGCUAACAGGAACCUCAAAACCCAAAGGUACAAAACUGGCGGGCCUGGGUUAAGCACUUAAAAGCCAUUAGAGAACUCGCUAUCUAACUCUAUAAUGUCUGGCUAGGAUAAGUUAGUCGUGGAAUGGGUUAGAUUGACAUUAGGUCACCCACCAACCACAAGAAAAUUUCUGUGCAACAAGAUACAGAGUAAAACAAAACUCCCAACCCACUGGCACAUCCUUCUUCAGUAUUUAUUUGGCUUCAAGAGACAAGGCUUAGCUAAAGAAUUCUGAUCUUCCAGUUUCAAAGAAUUGAACGUGUCAUCUUCCAGCUCAAAUGCUUAUUUUAUGUCAAGAACUGUGGUCCCAGAAAAUCUAUAUAGCUACAAAAAUGGCAGCAUCUUACUAAGACAACCUAGAAUUGCGACAGCUUUUAGGGGAAUGUUCCAAUUCUACAAGACUGUUCAUUUUAGAAGUGUACCUGAAAGCAAGAGUUCCCAAAUCAAACAAACAAAAUGGGAUAACUAUUUUAACUGGUAUGCGGAAGCUUCUAAGAGUCUUCGAAAAUUCAAAAUAGCUCCAAUGAAGGAUUAAUUGCAAAAGACUAAUGAAAAGGUAGACACAAAAGUUACCUAAAACAAGACUGUAAGACUGAUGUGAUUCCUACUACUCCCCUCUCUCCUUCUUUACCUGAAUAUUCAGAAUCUACUAAUCCUUUAAUGACCUUUCCACUCUUAAGAGACCACAAGACCAUAAACAAAAGUCCACCACACGAAUGGCCUUAUAACUGCAAUAGCUCCAAACCCAGCAAACUAAAACACCUGGGCCUCACCUGUUGUAACCUCCUAGGAGUCCAUAAUUAAAACACUGACCCAGAAAUCAAUGUCUCUUUUAUAAUCAACUCUGCAACUAGAAAAAAGAUUGUCCUCAAAGGUUUUGUGUCAUCUUUUGACACCAAUUCCAAUGUUCUCAUAGCCUCAAGGAAGGGUCCUGAUAUGGGCCCCUCCCAGGGCUGAUGGGACUCCAAGGGACUCUCCGUAAACUGCUACCAGUUAUUCCCUUAAACAGCCAUGGGAAAGGUAAAAUUAAAAAUUAAUGAAAAGUUGAGGCAUCUGGCUAGCUCAAUCAGUAGAGCAUGGGACUCUUGAGCUCAGGACAUGAGUUCAGGCCCCACGUUGAGUGUAGAGCCGAUCUGGUUUGUUUUUUUUUUUUAAGUCACAAAUGCCCUUUAAAAAAACAUCAGUGAAGCUCUUGCCAAAUUCUGGUAAAUACUAUGGCUAUACUCUCUACUUUAAAUCCCACUCACUUCAGAGACUGCAGGUAGAAUCCUAGAAAAACUUGAAAAUGCUGGUAAGGGUGAGAAUUCUUACCAGAGUCUGCUCUCCCGGAUCUCUAUAUUGCCCAGUAGAGAGAAGGUAAAAUUUCACAUUUUCCCUUACCUACCAAAUUCAGACUCCUGUGAAUUGGUUUUGGAGUAACCACUGGUUGUUGAUCCUUUCUACGUCCCUCUUGUUUGUCUCAUUUUAUAUCUUGAGAAUUUGGCUAAGCUGUUUGCCUGAAACAUGCAGGUUAUCAAUUUUUGCAAAUACAUGCAGCUCAACCAUCAGGUUGGGGACCCAA
RNAcentral lists this long non-coding RNA (1616 nucleotides) under Canis lupus familiaris (dog). Its description in RNAcentral is "lncRNA (ENSCAFG00000056476.1, ENSCAFG00805011506.1)". Lineage: Eukaryota; Metazoa; Chordata; Mammalia; Carnivora; Canidae. The record is from RNAcentral.